UACUCGAGUGGCGAACGGGUGAGUAACACGUGGGUGAUCUGCCCUGCACUUCGGGAUAAGCCUGGGAAACUGGGUCUAAUACCGGAUAGGAGCCAUUUUUAGUGUGAUGGUUGGAAAGUUUUUUGGUGUAGGAUGAGCUCGCGGCCUAUCAGCUUGUUGGUGGGGUAAUGGCCUACCAAGGCGGCGACGGGUAGCCGGCCUGAGAGGGUGGACGGCCACAUUGGGACUGAGAUACGGCCCAG
Molecule: ribosomal RNA, 242 nt
Filed under: uncultured Actinomycetales bacterium
Lineage: Bacteria; Bacillati; Actinomycetota; Actinomycetes; Actinomycetales
Description: partial 16S ribosomal RNA
Rfam family: Bacterial small subunit ribosomal RNA
Source: RNAcentral